GUGAAACUCAGCAGCACAUAUACUAAAAUUGGAACGAUACAGAGAAGAUUAGCAUGGCCCCUGUUCAAGGAUAACACGCAAAUUGGUGAAGCAUUCUAUAUUUUU
RNAcentral lists this small nuclear RNA (105 nucleotides) under Mus spicilegus (steppe mouse). The record is from RNAcentral. Lineage: Eukaryota; Metazoa; Chordata; Mammalia; Rodentia; Muridae.